This 425-nucleotide ribosomal RNA is filed under the name uncultured bacterium. RNAcentral describes it as "partial 16S ribosomal RNA". It matches the Rfam family "Bacterial small subunit ribosomal RNA", at positions 354 to 796 of the family's 1533-position model. The record is from RNAcentral.
GUGGGGAAUCUUAGACAAUGGGGGAAACCCUGAUCUAGCCAUGCCGCGUGAGCGAUGAAGGCCUUAGGGUUGUAAAGCUCUUUCAGAUGGGAAGAUAAUGACGAUACCAUCAGAAGAAGCCCCGGCUAACUCCGUGCCAGCAGCCGCGGUAAUACGGAGGGGGCUAGCGUUGUUCGGAAUUACUGGGCGUAAAGCGCACGUAGGCGGACCAGAAAGUCAGAGGUGAAAUCCCAGGGCUCAACCUUGGAACUGCCUUUGAAACUCCUGGUCUUGAGGUCGAGAGAGGUGAGUGGAAUUCCGAGUGUAGAGGUGAAAUUCGUAGAUAUUCGGAGGAACACCAGUGGCGAAGGCGGCUCACUGGCUCGAUACUGACGCUGAGGUGCGAAAGCGUGGGGAGCAAACAGGAUUAGAUACCCGUGUAGUCC